GACGAACGCUGGCGGCGUGCUUAACACAUGCAAGUCGAGCGGUGCGGCGAACGGGUGAGUAACGCGGGAGUAACAGCCCCCCUCUCUGGGAUCACAGUUGGAAACGGCUACUAAUACCGGCAAGUGGGGGAUGACACGCGUCCUAUCAGCUUGUUGGUGGGGUAGGGGCCUACCAAGGCGACGACGGGUCGGCGGCCUGAGAGGGCGACCGGCCACAUUGGGCGGAGAUACGGGCCGAACUCCUACGGGAGGGAGCAGUGGGGAAUAUUGCACGAGGGGGGAAACCCUGAUGCAGCAACGCCGCGUGCGGGAUGACGGCGUUCGGGUUGUAAACCGCUUUCAGCGAUGACGCGGUAGUGGCAGAAGAAGCACCGGCUAACUACGUGCCAGCAGCCGCGGUAAUUC
This 405-nucleotide ribosomal RNA is filed under the name uncultured bacterium. RNAcentral describes it as "partial 16S ribosomal RNA". It matches the Rfam family "Bacterial small subunit ribosomal RNA", at positions 28 to 526 of the family's 1533-position model. The record is from RNAcentral.